GGUCGGUUAGCUCAGUUGGUUAGAGCGUCGUACUAAUACAGUAUUACACUGUACUAAGUAAUGCGAAGGUCAUGAGUUCGACCCUCAUACUGACCA
This 96-nucleotide transfer RNA is filed under the name Nemania serpens. RNAcentral describes it as "tRNA-Ile". It matches the Rfam family "tRNA". From Rfam's summary of the family: Transfer RNA (tRNA) molecules are approximately 80 nucleotides in length. The record is from RNAcentral. Lineage: Eukaryota; Fungi; Ascomycota; Sordariomycetes; Xylariales; Xylariaceae.